AACUUGUGUCCAAUGGCCAGGGGAGGAUCACGCAAUUUGACAUAACCACGAACAGGUUCCAUGGUCAAACCCGACAGUGGUAGAGCUACAAAUGGAACCAAGCUAAGGGCCGCCAGCGUGUACCACAGCCGCCCUGCAGCAAUCCUCCUCCGUUGCAAGAACGCGCUGCAGCAUUUGAACCAACCCCCUGGUCCAUUCCAGGAGCUGUCGCAAUGCAUCAACAAAGUCAUGGUAUUUUCAACCUGCCAGGUGCGAUCGUGGAGCAUGCUAGCUUCGAUACCAAGUAGGCCAUACUUUGAAAAGUUCAGGCCAAAUACGCCGACAAGGAACCAAGAGUAGUAUAUCCAAAGCUCAUUGGAGAAGCCAAAUUUGAGUGUAUGUCCUUCUCUCGUCUGGAUCAAUUUCCAGAUAAAAGCGAAGUAGGCCAGGACUAUUAUCGGGCCAAAAAUCACUGCCACAGCUCGAAGGGGGAACCUGCGUAACCUAUAGCUCUUGCGUUUGUCAUGGCUGAUUGCCUUGGCUGUGUUUGUCGUGACGGAGUCACCGUUUGUGACAUUCAGUGGCCUAGUGCAGAGGUUAAUGAACAAGUUAUCUUGAAACCUGCUGACUCCCGCCGCACAUUCCCAGGGCUCACGAUAUUUCUCUUUUCUCCCAGGAAAAGCACUUACUCGAGCUCUGGUUCUGGUAGAUGAUCGUGACGAGGUGUUGUGGUCAUGUUUCAUUAAGGUUGAAUGGGAU
RNAcentral lists this small RNA (738 nucleotides) under Histoplasma capsulatum var. duboisii H88. RNAcentral's name for it is "Histoplasma capsulatum H88 hypothetical RNA". Lineage: Eukaryota; Fungi; Ascomycota; Eurotiomycetes; Onygenales; Ajellomycetaceae. The record is from RNAcentral.